This 2356-nucleotide long non-coding RNA is filed under the name Macaca fascicularis (crab-eating macaque). RNAcentral describes it as "lncRNA (ENSMFAG00000061935.1)". Lineage: Eukaryota; Metazoa; Chordata; Mammalia; Primates; Cercopithecidae. The record is from RNAcentral.
AUCACUGAAGUGUACUGAACAGAAAACUUUAUAUGAAAUUGACGUGAAGUAGUUUCACUAAUUUAUUUACAGUGGCUGCACCACUACAGAUGAGUCCUUGUGUCCCCCCAUAAAUAAAUACAUGUAUAAAAUAAGACAAAUAAGGUUCAAAAUGACACAAAUAUUUUAUUCAUGUGUUCAUAAAAGCACCUUCAAAAUUAAAAAACAAAAAAACAAAACCGUAACGUAAAGUCUCAGUAAAAAUCCAGUGCCAGUUAUGCAAAAGAAGCUUCAAAGUAUGCUGUGAUCCUCCCUUUUCCGCUCAGAUUGCAGCCCAAGGGCUAGUCCUAUAUGAAAGGGCCCCCCUUGUUCACCUCCACCAGGGACAAAUAAUAGAGUUUUAAGAGGAUAGGCCCUGGAGUUAGAGAGCUGGGUAUUCACACCUGCAAGUUACUUACCUUCGUUAAGCCUCAGUUCCUCACAUCUGUAAAAUCGGGUUAAUAAUAGUGCCUGAUCUUAGGACUGGUGUAAAGAUUAAUGAGAUAUGAUGGGAUGCAGUUAAAGUAACAUCCUGGCUGAAUGUUUAAUGAAUGGCUGCUUGCACUUAUUUAUUUUGUUAUCCUGUCGUGUCCCAGAAAGUCUUUUGGUAGCUUACAAGGGGACAUCAAAGAUGACAAAGAGGAGUGGAAGAAGACAGAAUCAAUGUGAGGAGCCUGGAACAGGGCUCUGAAUCGUCCUCCCACAAUGAAGUCACUUGGCUAGAGCUGAGCCACGAAUUUGACUCUGAGCAUCUAGGAUGAAAAAGAAGAACUGGCACCUAUGCCAUCUCUGCCCCUCGGGACUGACUACUUUGUCUUCUAGUAAAAUUGAUGCUCCAAGAAGAUACACAACGUUGACCAUGUGGAUUCAGAUAUCUCCUGCUUGGAUCUCAGCCUGGAUCUUGUUUGAGAAGCAUAGAUUAGCUACAGAACCAGUGGCCUGCUCCUCUCUCCCUUCUCUGCUUUUGUUCUCCACCAACACUGAAGUCAUAAAAGACUAGAGGGAGCUGGAGUGUGAGGUCCAGAAACUUGUAUGACCCAGAGCGCCAUGUCGUACAUCCAAUAAAGUUAAACUCUGCAAGCAAGAGAGAGAAGAGGAAGGAAAGGAGAGAAUCUAAAGUGUGUGAUUCUGUUUACCAUUCCACAGAGUAAGUGGCUGCCUGGGAGUGAGUGUGAGAAGGGAGUGGGAGGAAUCUUCUGUUCUUCCCUUGGACCUCAGUUCCAGGGAACUUUUCAGUGUGUAAACAUCUUACCAUGGACAUUCUGGGUUUCAAUUUAAAAAUAGGCAUUUUUGGUUUGACAUAAUCUGUCACUGAAACCAGCUGCUUCAGCUGACGGUCAAACUAAGAGUCAAGGAUUAACUGAACAGUUAGGGACACAGUGGCCGUGGCGAAACUUACUGAGAAAUGGCCAUCUCCCAUGCAGCAUUCUGCUGAGGGAUUUCAAGGGCAUUUUGACUUUUGACUUUUUUACCUGGUGUGCUGACUUGGCGAGCUAACCCCUGGGCAAGAUGCCACUCAAGAAGCUACUCUGUUGUUUAUAAUUAAGACAACAGUUGAGGUGGCCCUGGACUUUGAGGUUUAAACAAUAGUGACUUAAGCUCUUUCUCCUGUUUUCUGGGGGAAGUCCAGCUUGCUCACUGAGAGCCCCGCUGUCUCUGGGGCUGACAGUCCCGUGAUUUGUUCUGGCUCCAGAUGUCCACCCCCGAGGAGCUCUGAAUUCAUGGUCUCACAUGAAGGGACGGCACCCUGCUCUCCCUAUGCAAGUCACUGAGCUUCAUGUCAAACUUGGCCUCUGUGUUUUGUUCCCACCAGGCCCUUCUCCCAAGAAAGGUACACGUGGCAAACUUUACUCAGUGUGGGGACUCAGGAGGGAUUUUUAAAAAAUCAUAAAAAUGCCAAGUUUAAAAUUAGAUCAUAUUAGUGUUGCUUUCCUUAGAAGGAAGAAAAAAAGUUUAAAAAUUAAAAGAAGAGAUAAAAUUAGAUCUUAUAUAUCUCUCUCCUAAAAAGUGCCUUAACAGCCUUGCUGUAGGGGAUGUUGUUCUCACCGACCACUUUUCUUGGAAGAUUCCAGCCUUCUACCUUGUUGUUUGCCUUCUCUGUCCAUAAAACAUUCAAAUUCUCUCAUUUAUCCUAGAAGGCAAUUUAGAUCUACAGCCCCUACACAGUCCUAGACCUCUUUUCUGUAUCUACUAUUAAGUACCACUCACACCAAGGGUCACCCACUCUGAGUUUCAAUCAUUAUUAAUGAAGAAGAGAAAGUGGAGGCUUAGAAAUUCCCAUAUUUUCUUCAUGUCUCUCCACCAGUCUGCAAGUGAAAUAGAGUCUGAUAGAGAUUUA